Molecule: long non-coding RNA, 471 nt
Filed under: Fukomys damarensis (Damara mole-rat)
Lineage: Eukaryota; Metazoa; Chordata; Mammalia; Rodentia; Bathyergidae
Description: lncRNA (ENSFDAG00000031412.1)
Source: RNAcentral
CUUCAUAUUCUGUACUUUGUGUACUUUUGUAAGAGGUUGAAUUUGAAUUUUCUUGUGACUCUGCUCGGUAACUAUCCAAGCUAGUGUAAAUAUCUUUAGCUUUCUGUGGAAAGCUUUGUUUUUCUUUGCAGCCCACUGUUAUCUUGCAGCAGGUGCAGAUUCUGUGCUUUCUGAGUUCUUAGUGAAUGCAAAUCCCCGGUGGAGAUAUUUUUCAUUCCUUGCAUACCAUUGUUCCGAUAAUAAUGCUUAUAAAACACAGAGAUACUGUUUUUAGACUCCAUGGUUAAGGAUAUAUUUCAAGAAAGCCCAUGGUUUACCAGGAAACGCGGAGCUGCCUGUGGGUUUUUCCAAGCAUGCCGAGCCCCAUGGAAGACCAGCCCCCCACCCCAUCAUCUGAGUGAGCGUCGUCUUCAUGUUCCCGAUGGGCUUCUCGCCCCAGCGACACCGACGUGGCGACUGCCUUCUGAAUGA